AAACUUUGUGUAUAUUGAGUAGGGACUGCUGUUUGAUUACUUGAUAAUUUCUUGGUUGACUGAGUUGAUAUUAGUUAUGUUUUUGGCUUGUUAUAAAGUGAAUUGAUUGUGAUGUAUUGUGAAGUGAAUUGAUUGUGAUGUGUUGUGAAGUGAAAUGAUUGUGAUUAAGGAUUGAUGACUUUUGUAUGGAUAUUGUGUGAUCGGGAAAGCUGAGCCGGGCGGAUAGCUACCCGAGUAUGUGAGAUGGCAAGACUGAGCCGGGCGGAUAGUCUUGUCAAGUGGUUACUGAAAUUUAAAAAUGUGAGGAAAUGUAAGG
This 316-nucleotide long non-coding RNA is filed under the name Ricinus communis (castor bean). Its description in RNAcentral is "long non-coding RNA (RCOM_LNC001698)". Lineage: Eukaryota; Viridiplantae; Streptophyta; Magnoliopsida; Malpighiales; Euphorbiaceae. The record is from RNAcentral.